ACCCAACUCAAAAUUAGAAAUUAGCUCAAACCCAUUAAUAGAAAUUAGUUUAAAUCCAAGAUUAAAAUAGAGUAUUGCAUACCCAAUUUUUGAAAUCUAAAAAUCUAUUCACUAAUCAAGGUAUUUACAAGGAAAAUCUGAAAAUAAAACAAAGAAACAUGAAAUUAAUAAAGGAAAAGAAAAACUCAAAUGAAUAACUCUUCAAAUGACGAAAAUUCAUGUCCAAAGAGCUUCCAUUGGUGAAAUUGCAGCUGCUCCCUUGUUCUCUCAAAGUGAUUCACAUGAAAAUGGAGAAGAAGGUGAAAAUGGUGAAAAAUAGAGGGAGAAAGGUUGUAGUUGUUACCUCUUUAUUCUAGGGUCUUCUCCCUUCUAAAAACUAAAGAAAAAUAUUAUUUAUAUGUCCUAAAA
Molecule: long non-coding RNA, 408 nt
Filed under: Manihot esculenta (cassava)
Lineage: Eukaryota; Viridiplantae; Streptophyta; Magnoliopsida; Malpighiales; Euphorbiaceae
Description: long non-coding RNA (MESC_LNC004622)
Source: RNAcentral